GAAAAAGUGUUAAAAUUGGAUUCACCGACCAUAAAUUCAGUCGUAGACAGAUUAGAGUUUCAAAUUUUUCAAAGUUUCAGUGCACCCCUUUUCCCCUUUCCCUGUCAAAUCUUGACCCUAACUCUCUCACGACUAAAAAGCAUCAGUUUGCUUAUCACACACUCAUCAUAGGAGUCGGAUGUCGCACUUGCCCCCCAAACUCCCCGCCCAGUUAACGCUCCUUUUUGCUCGAUAUUCUCGUGGCGUGUUGUUUCGUUACUUUGUUUUCCUUGGCAAACUGUGAUGAAGAGAACUACAUUCCCUCGAAGACAGCAGCGGAUGUAACAGGCUCACACUUUGUGCUCUGUCCCCUUCGAUCUCUAGCUGUUCAUGAUCUGAGUCCUGUGGAUCUAUGCAGAUGAACCCGACCACAAACCAACUUCCGCCCUCCCAGACCUCUGUCACCAACAUCGCCACCCCCUUGUCCUUUCUGUUGUAAAUAUGUCCUAAGGAUGUGGAUUUUCCAAAAAGGCCGCCUGCCCCGCCGACCCCUCCCUUAUCUUCCCGUGCCCACCCCCCACUGUUGGAAUCUCACUGUGUUUUCUGUUCGCCUCCUUGGUUUUCGUCAGUUUUUUGAGAUUUUUGCCGCAUUUUUCUGUUGUCUAAAGCAGUGGUGUGAGUUGACGAGUAGGACUAAGUUGGAUGUUAAAAAGAUGGGAUGAAGAGGUCUUGAGAAAAAUAUACAAAAAAAAUGAAGCUUGAAUUGAGAAAGGGUUUCAAAUAUAGAGAAAAAAAUUAUGAUAAAGUUGUCAUAUUGUCAUACUAGAGAUGCUUUAGUUUGCUAAUUUACUUUCUUUUUUUUCUACAAAAGACUUGGAUGAAAUUAUUUAUAAAAUGCGUCCCACGAGUCAUGAUCUUUUUUGGACGUAAAACAAAUACAUUUAUUAACAUUUUGUUCAAAAGAAAAUAAAUAUAAAUUAUGUUAAACAUUA
Molecule: non-coding RNA, 971 nt
Organism: Xyrichtys novacula (pearly razorfish)
Lineage: Eukaryota; Metazoa; Chordata; Actinopteri; Labriformes; Labridae
Source: the annotation of a GenBank genome assembly